AGAUAUACAGACCAGCGUACUGUAAGUCGGGUUAAUAACACUUGUGGAUAUUUUGUCUCCGAUUACCAGCGACAUAAGGACAAAAUCAGCGGACAACAGGUAAAACGGUCACGCAGAGCUGGGGACAUGCGGAGCUGGGGACACGCGGAGCUGGGGACACGCGGAGCUGGGGACACGCGGAUCUGGGGACACGCGGAGCAAGGGACUCGCAGAGCUAAGGACACGGGAGAUUAAGAUGAACAAAAAAAUACUGAUGGAAGGAAAUACAAUGAUUUUGAUAGUAAUGAAUUGUACUUAAAUAUUUGAAUGAAGCUGCAUAGUGAUAACCAGACAGUUAGAACAUGUCAGGAUGUUCCCCUGCCAUGGAGCAGCACAACUACAACCUCUACACACCUCCCAGAGUUUUCAGCAGCCAGGUUGAGCCAUUCUGGAUGUGUGUAGGGUGGUAGGUUCUGAUCAGGUUGCUAAGGUACUUUAGAUCAGAGCCCUGGGUUUUCGUGGACAAGUUGACUUAACUGUGGGGAUGGAUUUGCAGGCAAUACGAGAGCAGAUCGGAUCAGUCAGUGGAGGGGAAAAUGGAGUGAUGUGAUCAUGAGAAGAGCAGAGCUCUCCAGAGGGUGGUGCGGUCUGCCCAACGCAUCACCGGGGUAAAACUACCUGCCCAAUAGGACACCUACAGUACAGCACCCGAUGUCACAAGAAGGCCGAAAAGAUCAUCAAGGACAACAACCACCCGAGCCACUGCCUGUUCACCUCGCUAUCAUCCAGAAGGCGAAGUCUGUACAGGUGCAUCAAAGCUGGGACCGAGAGACUGAAAAGCAGCUUCUAUCUCAAGGCCAUCAGACCGUUAAAUAGCCAUCACUAGCACCUUAGAGGCUGCUGCCCUAUAUACAUAGACUUGAAAUCACUGGCCACUUUAAUAAUGGAACACUAGUCACUCUAAUAAUGUUUACGUACUGCUUUACUCAUUUCAUAUGUAUAUACUGUUUUCUAUUCUACUGUAUUUUAGUCUAUGCCGCUCCGACAUUGCUCGUUCAUAUAUUUAUAUGUUCUUAAAUCCAUUCCUUUACUUUAGAUUUGUGUGUAUUGUGUGUAUUGUUAUGAAAUUGUUAAAUAUUACUGUACUGUUGGAGCUAGAAACACAAGCAUUUCGCUACACCCACAAUAACAUCUGCUAAACACGUGUAUGUGACCAAUAACAUUUGAUUCGAUUAGAUAUAAUUUCAUUUGCACAGAAGCAACCAUUUGGUCAAGGACACUUGGAAUAUAUGCCUUUAUUUGACACUGGUACUCUGUAAUCCCUUGAGGAUUUAUGUGCCUGUGGAUGGGCAUUUAUAUGGUUUUACCUAUAAUAAGUAUUUACCCUGCAUGGACUUUUCACGUGUAAUUUUACAAAGUGGG
Molecule: long non-coding RNA, 1401 nt
Filed under: Salmo salar (Atlantic salmon)
Lineage: Eukaryota; Metazoa; Chordata; Actinopteri; Salmoniformes; Salmonidae
Description: lncRNA (ENSSSAG00000097698.1)
Source: RNAcentral